AAUCGCAAUCACAUCAUUCACAAUGAUAAACACUUCUUGGAUAUUUAAUCAGUACCAUAACACGGCCCUUGGCCCAUUAAUUUAUUCGGAAUAAUCACAACAUCAUAAUCAUGGCCUUAGGCCCAUAUACAUAUCCGGGACUCAUAUCAAUAAUCAUAUUUAUAAACCGUAGCAUAUCUAUAAUCAUCUCACAUAUAAGAGGCAUCUCACAUCUAGGAGAAAUAAUAUCAACAAGCAUAUCGC
Molecule: long non-coding RNA, 243 nt
Filed under: Capsicum annuum
Lineage: Eukaryota; Viridiplantae; Streptophyta; Magnoliopsida; Solanales; Solanaceae
Description: long non-coding RNA (CANN_LNC022411)
Source: RNAcentral